Non-coding RNA from Meloidogyne enterolobii, 100 nucleotides. Lineage: Eukaryota; Metazoa; Nematoda; Chromadorea; Rhabditida; Meloidogynidae. The record is from the annotation of a GenBank genome assembly.
GGCUCCGGUAGCUCAGUGGGAGAGCUCCUGUAGUUGGUGAUCGAAAGCGCCUAGCAAUAACUGCGAGGAGGUCGCAGGUUCGAAUCCUGCCCGAUGGCUA